This is a non-coding RNA of Hydra vulgaris (swiftwater hydra), 2091 nucleotides long. Lineage: Eukaryota; Metazoa; Cnidaria; Hydrozoa; Anthoathecata; Hydridae. The record is from RefSeq and is a predicted model, not a curated record.
UUUUUUUUAAUAAGAAUAUAUAUUAUGGCUUCUGGAUCUGGAAGGAAACUUGCAUGUGAAUGGAAUGAUGUGACUAAAUUAUCAAAAACUUUUUCCAGAAAAGUAAUACUGCAGUGCCUGUGCAAUUAUUGUAAUGAAAUUAUAAAUAGCCAAAAAGUAGAAAGAAUUAGAAUUCAUUUAAAUAAAUGUAAAAAAAAAGCAACCAUCUGCUGAUGUUGCAGAACAAAAUAAGAAUUUUAUUUUAAAUAAUGGCCAAGUAUCAUUUCAGGCAUCUGUAAACUUGUUGUGUGAUUUUGUUAGCCCAGUUGCUUCAGAGUCUUUUGAAGCAUCAAGCACUUCUGGUGUCUUUGAGAGUAGUUACUCUGGUUCAACACCAACCCCAUAUAAAAAACAAAAGUUAAUAGAAAAUUACAUAUCAAGAACAAGCUCAAAUCAAAACGAUGUUUUUGGCUUGCAAGUUGCCAAAUUUUUUUUGCUUGCAAUAUUCCAUUUAAUGCAGUACAAAAUAGAGAAUUUAAAAAAUGUAUUAAUUUUUUGAGACCUGGUUAUGAUACUCCAAACCGGAAGAAACUUUCAGGAGAGUUACUGGAUAAAGUGAACUAUGAAGUAAUUGUAUCUAUGAAAAGUGAAUAUGCAAAUAAUAGGAGUACUAUUACAUUGAUACAAGAUGGUUGAAGCAGUGUCAGAAAUGAUCCAAUUAUUGCUCACAGUGUACAUAACGGAAAGACCCCAUAUUUAAUCUCCGCUAUAGAUGCAGAAAGUGAAAAAAAACUUCAGAAUAUUGUGCUCAAUUAGCCAUUGAAGCAAUAAAACACAUCAAGAAGGUUUAUGAACAAGAUGUAUUUGCCAUUUGUACAGAUAAUGAGAACAAAAUGAAAAAGAUGAAAGAAAUUUUCAAAGAAGAAUAUCCAUUGCUACUUACAUAUGGAUGCUCAGCUCAUUACUUAAAUUUAGUUGAGAAGCAGGUGACACCAAGUUUUCUGGCACAUUUAAUUGAAGUUAACAAAUACUUCCGAAAUCAUCACCAACCACGUGUGAGUAAAUAUUGUAAUCAUCACCAACCACGUAGAUGGCUUUUGGAUGAUAGGAAUGGAGUUAUGCCGCAACUUCCUAAUGAUACACAAUGGAACUCUUAAGUAGACUGUUUAAAGACUUAUAUUAAAAAUUAUAGCCACUAUCUUGAUAUUAUAGAGAAGCAUGAAGGUUAUAUUAAACAUAAUAUCAAGAAAAUUAUAGAUAAUGCAGCAAUUUUUAGGGAUACUAAAAAUCUUUAAAUUCAACUGGAGAAAUGUGAGAUUUAGAUAAGAUAGAUAUGUAAAUCAAAAUUGUUAGUCAUUAAAAUAAUGUAAACUGCGCUUCAAUAUACUGUUAAAAUAUUUGUAUAGGUAUUUUAAAAAAAUUAUAUUUAUAGCUACAAAGUGAUUCAACAUCAUUGUCUGAUGCAUGUGAAAUUUGGUUGUCUCUCCUGAAGGAUAAAGACCGGAAGCCAUAUUAUAUUGAAAUUAAGUUAAAAUUUGAUGAAGCAAUGGAACCUUUUCAUUUUUUAACCCAAAAUUGAAAGAACUAACCCAAAAUUUGAAAGAACAUACUUAAAACUACAUUUUUUUAACUUACAUAACACAUUAGUCGAUUCUAGACUACAGACACAAUAUAUGACUAAUAAAUAAGAUCCAUAUAGGAUAUUUAUUUCUCAUUUAUAAAAUAUAAAACAAAAAUAAUAUUCUUUAAUUUUAGGAAAAUCUUUAAGCAUUGAACAAGAAGCUGCUGCAGAAGCUUGGCUAAGCGAUAGGCACAAUGAAUAUUUGGCUGGUUACUAUGAUUUCAGGCUAAAAGUCACAACUACCUUUCCACAGCAUAUGUUUAAUGAUAACUUUAUUUCUACAAUUUCAAGUGAAAGAUGGUGGGGCUCCAUAGAAGGAGUGUUUUCUACUUUUGGUAUUGUGUGGAGCAAGUUAAGAAAUAGGUUAGGAAACGAUAGAGCUGAAUAGCUUGUUUUGAGAUUUGAGAGGCAAAGAAUUUGAUUGGUAAACAACAAUGGCCAGUCUUUUGUAAAGCUUUUGAAAUUUAAAGAAAUAUAGUUUGUAAUCUUUA